This 390-nucleotide ribosomal RNA is filed under the name uncultured eukaryote. RNAcentral's name for it is "partial 18S ribosomal RNA". It matches the Rfam family "Eukaryotic small subunit ribosomal RNA", at positions 592 to 975 of the family's 1831-position model. The record is from RNAcentral.
CAAUAGCGUAUAUUAAAGUUGUUGCAGUUAAAAAGCUCGUAGUUGGAUUUCUGUGAGAGUGCCGGUGUCGGCUGAUGCUUGUACGCAGGCGCUCUUACAUCCUUCUGUUAACUGAUCUUGGCAUUUUAUUGCUGGUUCAGGGCUCAGAUAUUUUACCUUGAGAAAAUUAGAGUGUUUCAGGCAGGCUUAUGCCGGAAUACAUUAGCAUGGAAUAAUGGAACAGGACCUGUGCGUCUUUCGGGGCGCCGGUCUCCGUUAUUGGUUUCGGGGACUAAAGUAAUGAUUAAUAGGGAUAGUUGGGGGCAUUAGUAUUUAAUAGUCAGAGGUGAAAUUCUUGGAUUUUUUAAAGACUAACUUAUGCGAAAGCAUUUGCCAAGGAUGUUUUCAUUA